UUUAUGGAGAGUUUGAUCCUGGCUCAGGAUGAACGCUGGCGGCGUGCCUAAUACAUGCAAGUCGAGCGAACAGAUAAGGAGCUUGCUCCUUUGACGUUAGCGGCGGACGGGUGAGUAACACGUGGGUAACCUACCUAUAAGACUGGGAUAACUUCGGGAAACCGGAGCUAAUACCGGAUAAUAUUUCGAACCGCAUG
RNAcentral lists this ribosomal RNA (197 nucleotides) under Staphylococcus hominis. Its description in RNAcentral is "partial 16S ribosomal RNA". It matches the Rfam family "Bacterial small subunit ribosomal RNA", at positions 1 to 192 of the family's 1533-position model. Lineage: Bacteria; Bacillati; Bacillota; Bacilli; Caryophanales; Staphylococcaceae. The record is from RNAcentral.